AGCGGCGGACGGGUGAGUAACACGUGGGUAACCUGCCCAAGAGACUGGGAUAACACCUGGAAACAGAUGCUAAUACCGGAUAACAACACUAGACGCAUGUCUAGAGCUUGAAAGAUGGUUCUGCUAUCACUCUUGGAUGGACCUGCGGUGCAUUAGCUAGUUGGUAAGGUAACGGCUUACCAAGGCAAUGAUGCAUAGCCGAGUUGAGAGACUGAUCGGCCACAUUGGGACUGAGACACGGCCCAAACCCCUACGGGAGGCAGCAGUAGGGAAUCUUCCACAAUGGACGAAAGUCUGAUGGAGCAACGCCGCGUGAGUGAAGAAGGGUUUCGGCUCGUAAAGCUCUGUUGGUAGUGAAGAAAGAUAGAGGUAGUAACUGGCCUUUAUUUGACGGUAAUUACUUAGAAAGUCACGGCUAACUACGUGCCAGCAGCCGCGGUAAUACGUAGGUGGCAAGCGUUGUCCGGAUUUAUUGGGCGUAAAGCGAGUGCAGGCGGUUCAAUAAGUCUGAUGUGAAAGCCUUCGGCUCAACCGGAGAAUUGCAUCAGAAACUGUUGAACUUGAGUGCAGAAGAGGAGAGUGGAACUCCAUGUGUAGCGGUGGAAUGCGUAGAUAUAUGGAAGAACACCAGUGGCGAAGGCGGCUCUCUGGUCUGCAACUGACGCUGAGGCUCGAAAGCAUGGGUAGCGAACAGGAUUAGAUACCCUGGUAGUCCAUGCCGUAAACGAUGAGUGCUAAGUGU
This 742-nucleotide ribosomal RNA is filed under the name uncultured bacterium. RNAcentral describes it as "bacterial SSU rRNA". It matches the Rfam family "Bacterial small subunit ribosomal RNA", at positions 94 to 823 of the family's 1533-position model. The record is from RNAcentral.